GAGGGUAUAGCUCAGUGGCAGAGUGCAUGCUUAAUGAGCACAAGUCCUGGGUUCAAUCCCCAGCGCCUCCA
This 71-nucleotide transfer RNA is filed under the name Camelus bactrianus (Bactrian camel). It matches the Rfam family "tRNA". Rfam says of the family: Transfer RNA (tRNA) molecules are approximately 80 nucleotides in length. Their secondary structure includes four short double-helical elements and three loops (D, anti-codon, and T loops). Further hydrogen bonds mediate the characteristic L-shaped molecular structure. tRNAs have two regions of fundamental functional importance: the anti-codon, which is responsible for specific mRNA codon recognition, and the 3' end, to which the tRNAs corresponding amino acid is attached (by aminoacyl-tRNA synthetases). tRNAs cope with the degeneracy of the genetic code in two manners: having more than one tRNA (with a specific anti-codon) for a particular amino acid; and 'wobble' base-pairing, i.e. permitting non-standard base-pairing at the 3rd anti-codon position. Lineage: Eukaryota; Metazoa; Chordata; Mammalia; Artiodactyla; Camelidae. The record is from Rfam by way of RNAcentral. RNAcentral also lists the same sequence under 2 other names.